UUUUUUUUUUUUUUUCUUUUGACAGAAACAGAGAGAAAGAGAGUACACAAGAGCACACAAAGCAGUGUGAAGUAACAGAGGGAGAAGCAGGUUCCUCACUGAGCGAGAUGUUGGGCUCAGGGCUUAAUCCCAGAACCCUGGGAUCAUGACCUGAGCAGAAGGCAGACGCUUAAAUGACUGAGCCACCCAGACUCAAGUUUAGUUUCUGAUAAGAGCUCUCUUUCUGGCUUGCAGAUAACCACUUUGUCCUUAACAUCAUGGAAAGAGUAAGUUCUCCAGUGUUUCUUCUUAUAAGGACACUAACACUAUCCAAUUAGGGGUACCACCCUUAUGACUUCAUUUAACUUAAUUACCUCUGAAACGUCCUUUCUCCAAAUGAAAUACUUUAGGAAUUAGGGCUUCAAUGUAUGAAUAUGGAGGCGAGAAGGCACACAAUUCAGUCCAUAGCAGUAAGGUUGUAAUACAGAAGCAAAUAAGGCACAUGAAUAUUCUCUUUUACUUCAAAGGGAUUUUAAAAGUUCAUAUUCUGAAAAAUGAACACAAUAUUUUCCUAAAUUCUAUGAGCAAUAAAUCUCAAAUUCAGCAAAAAUUACACCCUGUUGAUAACCGAGCUCACAUGUCAUCACAGACAGAUUUAGGUGGUGAGACUACAAUGGUGAACAAGACAGGUUCCUGUCCUGUUUCAUGAAGCUUACAUCCUAGAGUGAUGAGAUGGUAAAUUAACAUAUAAUCACAUCAAUUAAAGAACAUCUGAUAGUGAUAACUGGUAUGAAGAAAAGAUGAUACUGUAAUGGAGACAAUGCCAUGGGGAUACUGCAGAUGGUGUGGUUUAGGACAUCAGGAGGUCAUAACGUGACAAAGAGGAGACCAUGUGAAGAGCAUCUCAAGCACAAAUAAUAGCAAAUAAAUUUUUAAAAAUGAGAGGUUGCUUUCAUUUAUUAUUGCAUUAAAAUAAUUAUUCACAAAUAAGAAAACCUACAUCAAACACCAACACACUUGUGUAUAGAAUCAGCAAUUCAGAAAUUUCUCCUGAUUGUCACUAAUAAUCCUAAAAAUAAAUUAUUAUUUGAAAGAAUUUUAAUUAAGCUGUUCUUUCUUGCCCACCACUGCAUCUUGUAGUUGGACCAAGAAAAGAAUUAGUUCCUCUCUGCAAUGUACCUGGAUUGACACGCAUGUAAUCAGUAUACCCAGUAUAGAUAUCUAUAACUACAGAAAUUUGGGGACUGUUUGAAAAAGGGUUUAAAGCACAGAUUUAUUAAAACAGAGACUAUCCAUAUUCUACAAUUUGCCUCCCUCUACACAAACAUGAGCCUCAGCUCUUGACUCAAUCUCACACAUUUCUCCUGUUGGAAGUCUUCAUUAAUGUUUGGCCAUUCUCAUUUAAAUGUUUCGCUUAAAAUGUCUAGUAGGGAAAUUAAAUUUCAGGAUGGGUUUGUGACAGCAAGUAGGAAAUAGAAAACCUUAAUAAUCAAAUCUGGACUUGAUUUGUAAGUUAAAACGACUGAAUCUUGCAUUCCCUUUGGUAAGUGCCUGAGGAGAGCAGAAAUCUUGAAAAGGCUCUCCAGAUGCCCUGGGCUAAGAACAACCAGGUGAUUAUGAGUUACACAUGUUUCACAUUUGCUAAUAAAAAGGUGAAAAUCACCCUAGUUGGCAUUAUUCUUAUUUGAGGCAUUUAAAGCACCAAUGAAGGAUUAAAAUUAAGCCAUGAGUAAAUAAAAAAGACAAGAAUUAGAAGCAUGCCCUACGUUAAUGGGAGCAUACUUACACAUUAUAGUGCAAAGAGAUACAAAAUAUUCAGUACCUUCACUGGCAGUCCCAUUAGGAAAUAUAUGGCCAUUUUAAUUAAAUGGCCAGGUCAGGGGUGCCUGACUGAACUCAGUUGGUGGAACAUGUGACUCUUGAUCUCAGGGUUGUGGGUUUGUGCCCCAUGUAGAGAUUACUUAAAAAUAAAAUCUUUUAAAAAGUGGUUAAAAAGUAGCCAGGUCAAUAUUAGAGCAAAGGAAUCCAACUUGUUUGCCUCUCAAAGACAACAUAAAAUAAGGACAAAUUUGUUAUUCCUUACCCUUCAUUAUAUAUGUUCUCAGAUAUCUUCCCGCUCAAGCUCUGUGAGUCUUCAGAAUCCUUAUAAAAUAGACAAAGCAAAGGCUAGACUACCAUCCUCCUUCAAGUAGGACUGCUAAUUCAGAAAGACAAAAAGUUCCUGCACAGGUACUCUUUCUAGAACUAUAUUUCCCAAAUUAAAACCUUAUAAUCAUGAUUUCAGAACAGCAUGGCUGAGACAGCUUUCUCUACCAUCUCCCAAAGGAAAAUGUUCUUGCAUGUUAUCAUUCUCCCCAGUAAGUAUUUCAGAUAAAAUUACCUUCUCAUACAUUUACUUCAUAACAGGAGUCUGGAGUAGGGAAUAUAUCAAAUAGUGAGUUGGAGUAUUGACAUCCAAAGUUGAAAUUCACUCGAAAAUAUAAAUCUAGGUGAAAUGUAUUUAAACUUUUAAGUAUUAUUUUGAGAUGGAGAGAAUCACUUUCUAUUUCUUAACCCAUGACAGUAAUUUUCAUCUUGAAAUUGCUGUCAAACAAUUUUUCAUAAACUCUCAUUUCCUACAAAAUGAAAUUACAACUCAUUAGCACCACUUGGUAAUUUUGCCACACAAAACUUUCUAGAUUCAUCUACCCUUAAACCCCAAUGGCCUUUUCCCUUUUCUCAUCUCUCAGUAUGGUGCUACUUGAAUUUUUCCAACCACAUGUUUUCAUACCAAUAUAUCUUUACUCGUGUUGCCUCCCUUGCCUAUAAUGUUCUUUCUUUUCUCUGUCUUAUUCUCCUAAGUGCUUCUCUAAAAUUUAAACAUUCUUUGUCUUCUAGAACCAGAUAAGAUGUUUCCUCUUUGAUUCUCCUAAUAAGAAGUAGCCAUUUCUAUCAUAUACCUUUAUUACAGCACAGUGUGAUUUAUGCAAGAGUUAUUUGUGCAUGCUUUCCUCCUCCCUUGAUAAACUACAUAUUCAUCUGUGUAACCUCAUAGAGGCAAUGACACUACACUAUACCCGUCAUGAAGUAGGGAGCUGAUAUUCAUUGAAUUGAACUGGCUUGGACAAUGUUAACAAUUUCUUUUGGCAUCUAGCUUGACCAUAAAAGCAAUGGUUACCACACAGAAGAGACUCAAUAGUACUGUUCAGGGAAAGGAAAUGUAGACAACAACCAUUCAUACUUUUUAUAAGUAAUCACAAAUCUUGUGCUGGAGAAUCAAACUAGGGCAGGUUGAGCUUGGGGUGCCUGAAAAUAAGUUCUGAAGACAGAGUAUGACCACAAUUAAAAGGCUCCGUCUAGAGUAAGCAAGACUCAGUCAUCAAUCAACCACUACACUUUCUUGUCAAUUAAUGAAACCUGAUGGCAACAACACUUGGUUACAUUUGUGAAGGGAGAAUUGAUUUUGAUUGACUCAGACUCUCUGCUGUGUCACAAACGUAGUUGGAUAACUAAUUGAAUGACUAGCCUCUCAUUGGAAAGCUCUGGACCUUUCACCUAAGCUACAUCAUUAGUCAAGUGCCCAUAUUGAGAAGAGAAUCUUGCUCUGAAUUGAUAGAACUGUAGCUAUGUUAUGAUGCAGCAUAGUCUAGUAAAAGAACACUAGUCAAAAAAGUAAGAAGUUGGGUUCUAAUCCUAGGUCAGCCCAGAUUAAUUUGGGACCCCUAAGAGCAGGUUAAUAAACUUUGUCUCAGACACAUUACUCCUUGGAUUUUGACUCAGCUACUUACUAGCUCUCAGACCUCCCACAGAAGUAAUUUAGUUCUAUGAGGCUCACUGUCUUCAUUUGUAGGAUAGGGAUAAUGAAAGUCCUUUAGGAAUCAAGGUUUAAUUGAGAUGCUAUCAGGAAAAAGUAUGCCAUAGUGCCCAGGAUAAAGGCCCUGAAGGUUGAUCUAAAUAAAUGUUCAGUAAAUAUUUAUUUCCACUAUUACCUACCUUAAUCUUUCAGCUUCUUCAUCCAUUCAUGU
This 3983-nucleotide long non-coding RNA is filed under the name Canis lupus familiaris (dog). Its description in RNAcentral is "lncRNA (ENSCAFG00845025702.1)". The record is from RNAcentral. Lineage: Eukaryota; Metazoa; Chordata; Mammalia; Carnivora; Canidae.